UAAGUAACGAUAAAGCGGGUGAAAAGCCCGCUCGCCGGAAGACCAAGGGUUCCUGUCCAACGUUAAUCGGGGCAGGGUGAGUCGACCCCUAAGGCGAGGCCGAAAGGCGUAGUCGAUGGGAAACAGGUUAAUAUUCCUGUACUUGGUGUUACUGCGAAGGGGGGACGGAGAAGGCUAUGUUAGCCGGGCGACGGUUGUCCCGGUUUAAGCAUGUAGGCUGGUUGUCCAGGCAAAUCCGGAUAAUCAAGGCUGAGGUGUGAUGACGAGGCACUACGGUGCUGAAGUAACAAAUGCCCUGCUUCCAGGAAAAGCCUCUAAGCAUCAGGUAACAUCAAAUCGUACCCCAAACCGACACAGGUGGUCAGGUAGAGAAUACCAAGGCGCUUGAGAGAACUCGGGUGAAGGAACUAGGCAAAAUGGUGCCGUAACUUCGGGAGAAGGCACGCUGGUGUGUAGGUGAAGUCCCUGCGGAUGGAGCUGAGACCAGUCGAAGAUACCAGCUGGCUGCAACUGUUUAUUAAAAACACAGCACUGUGCAAACACGAAAGUGGACGUAUACGGUGUGACGCCUGCCCGGUGCCGGAAGGUUAAUUGAUGGGGUUAUCCGUAAGGAGAAGCUCUUGAUCGAAGCCCCGGUAAACGGCGGCCGUAACUAUAACGGUCCUAAGGUAGCGAAAUUCCUUGUCGGGUAAGUUCCGACCUGCACGAAUGGCGUAAUGAUGGCCAGGCUGUCUCCACCCGAGACUCAGUGAAAUUGAACUCGCUGUGAAGAUGCAGUGUACCCGCGGCAAGACGGAAAGACCCCGUGAACCUUUACUAUAGCUUGACACUGAACAUUGAGCCUUGAUGUGUAGGAUAGGUGGGAGGCUUUGAAGCGUGGACGCCAGUCUGCGUGGAGCCAACCUUGAAAUACCACCCUUUAAUGUUUGAUGUUCUAACGUUGGCCCCUUACCGGGGUUGCGGACAGUGUCUGGUGGGUAGUUUGACUGGGGCGGUCUCCUCCCAAAGCGUAACGGAGGAGCACGAAGGUUAGCUAAUCCUGGUCGGACAUCAGGAGGUUAGUGCAAUGGCAUAAGCUAGCUUGACUGCGAGCGUGACGGCGCGAGCAGGUGCGAAAGCAGGUCAUAGUGAUCCGGUGGUUCUGAAUGGAAGGGCCAUCGCUCAACGGAUAAAAGGUACUCCGGGGAUAACAGGCUGAUACCGCCCAAGAGUUCAUAUCGACGGCGGUGUUUGGCACCUCGAUGUCGGCUCAUCACAUCCUGGGGCUGAAGUAGGUCCCAAGGGUAUGGCUGUUCGCCAUUUAAAGUGGUACGCGAGCUGGGUUUAGAACGUCGUGAGACAGUUCGGUCCCUAUCUGCCGUGGGCGCUGGAGAAUUGAGGGGGGCUGCUCCUAGUACGAGAGGACCGGAGUGGACGCAUCACUGGUGUUCGGGUUGUCAUGCCAAUGGCACUGCCCGGUAGCUAAAUGCGGAAGAGAUAAGUGCUGAAAGCAUCUAAGCACGAAACUUGCCCCGAGAUGAGUUCUCCCUGAGACUU
Molecule: ribosomal RNA, 1536 nt
Filed under: Klebsiella pneumoniae
Lineage: Bacteria; Pseudomonadati; Pseudomonadota; Gammaproteobacteria; Enterobacterales; Enterobacteriaceae
Description: partial 23S ribosomal RNA
Rfam family: Bacterial large subunit ribosomal RNA
Source: RNAcentral